This 428-nucleotide ribosomal RNA is filed under the name Centropomus undecimalis. RNAcentral describes it as "partial 16S ribosomal RNA". It matches the Rfam family "Bacterial large subunit ribosomal RNA", at positions 1974 to 2545 of the family's 2925-position model. The record is from RNAcentral. Lineage: Eukaryota; Metazoa; Chordata; Actinopteri; Centropomidae.
UUUUAAAUGAAGACCUGUAUGAACGGCUCCACGAAGGCUUAACUGUCUCCUUUUUCAAGUCAAUGAAAUUGAUCUCCCCGUGCAAAAGCGGGGAUACACCCAUAAGACGAGAAGACCCUAUGGAGCUUUAGAUGUUACAACAAGCAUUAUUGCUAUUCCCAAACAAAGGGAUACCACUAGCCCCUGCCCAAACAUCUUCGGUUGGGGUGACCAUGGGAAACAAGAAACUCCCACGUCUCUGUAUUGGAAUCUCCUUAACCCAACAAACUUCUUCAAACAAGAGCCACCACUCUAAUUAACAGAAUUUCUGACCACCGAUCCGGCAACGCCGAUUAACGAACCAAGUUACCCUAGGGAUAACAGCGCAAUCCCCUUUCAGAGCCCAUAUCGAUAAGGGGGCUUACGACCUCGAUGUUGGAUCAGGACAU